UACGUAGGGUGCGAGCGUUGUCCGGAAUUAUUGGGCGUAAAGAGCUUGUAGGCGAUUUGUCGCGUCUGCUGUGAAAAUCCGGGGCUCAACCCCGGACUUGCAGUGGGUACGGGCAGACUAGAGUGUGGUAGGGGAGACUGGAAUUCCUGGUGUAGCGGUGAAAUGCGCAGAUAUCAGGAGGAACACCGAUGGCGAAGGCAGGUCUCUGGGCCACUACUGACGCUGAGAAGCGAAAGCAUGGGGAGCAAACAGG
Molecule: ribosomal RNA, 253 nt
Filed under: uncultured bacterium
Lineage: Bacteria
Description: partial 16S ribosomal RNA
Rfam family: Bacterial small subunit ribosomal RNA
Source: RNAcentral